UACGGAGGGUGCAAGCGUUAUCCGGAUUCACUGGGUUUAAAGGGUGCGUAGGCGGGUAAGUAAGUCCGUGGUGAAAUCUCUGAGCUUAACUCAGAAACUGCCGUGGAUACUAUUUGCCUUGAAUAUUGUGGAGGUGAGCGGAAUAUGUCAUGUAGCGGUGAAAUGCUUAGAUAUGACAUAGAACACCAAGUGCGAAGGCAGCUCACUACACAAUCAUUGACGCUGAGGCACGAAAGCGUGGGGAUCAAACAGG
Molecule: ribosomal RNA, 253 nt
Filed under: uncultured bacterium
Lineage: Bacteria
Description: partial 16S ribosomal RNA
Rfam family: Bacterial small subunit ribosomal RNA
Source: RNAcentral